RNAcentral lists this ribosomal RNA (495 nucleotides) under Veillonella dispar. RNAcentral describes it as "bacterial SSU rRNA". It matches the Rfam family "Bacterial small subunit ribosomal RNA", at positions 33 to 496 of the family's 1533-position model. The record is from RNAcentral. Lineage: Bacteria; Bacillati; Bacillota; Negativicutes; Veillonellales; Veillonellaceae.
GACGACGCUGGCGGCGUGCUUACACAUGCAAGUCGAACGAAGAGCGAUGGAAGCUUGCUUCUAUCAAUCUAGUGGCGAACGGGUGAGUAACGGGUAAUCAACCUGCCCUUCAGAGGGGGACACAGUUGGAAACGACUGCUAAUACCGCAUACGAUCUAACCUCGGCAUCGAGGAAAGAUGAAAGGUGGCCUCUAUUUAUAAGCUAUCACUGAAGGAGGGGAUUGCGUCUGAUUAGCUAGUUGGAGGGGUAACGGCCCACCAAGGCGAUGAUCAGUAGCCGGUCUGAGAGGAUGAACGGCCACAUUGGGACAGAGACACGGCCCAGACUCCUACGGGAGGCAGCAGUGGGGAAUCUUCCGCAAUGGACGAAAGUCUGACGGAGCAACGCCGCGUGAGUGAUGACGGCCUUCGGGUUGUAAAGCUCUGUUAAUCGGGACGAAAGGCCUUCUUGCGAAUAGUUAGAAGGAUUGACGGUACCGGAAUAGAAAGCCACGG